AUUGACCAGGUGUGUGUUAUUGACCAGGUGUGUGUUAUUGACCAGGUGUGUGUUAUUGACCAGGUGUGUUAUUGACCAGGUGUGUGUUAUUGACCAACAGGGAGGCUGUUUAAUCUGAAUGGGGUUGUGGAGAAAGCACAACAUGUGGCCUCAAUUAGCCUGGCUAGCUUCUCUAGGCUGCUCCAGUCAAGACAGAUACUGUUAUGUGGAUGUGAACUACAUUGUGGCUGCUACAGGUUAGCUGGUCUUGGCUGCUACAGGUUAGCUGGUCUUGGCUGUUUACAAGUUAGCUGGUCUUGGCUGCUACAGGUUAGCUGGUCUUGGCUGUUUACAGGUUAGCUGGUCUUGGCUGCUACAGGUUAGCUGGUCUUGGCUGUUUACAGGUUAGCUGGUCUUGGCUGUUUACAGGUCUUGGCUGCUACAGGUUAGCUGGUCUUGGCUGUUUACAGGUUAGCUGGUCUUGGCUGUUUACAGGUUAGCUGGUCUUGGCUGUUACAGGUUAGCUGGUCUUGGCUACUACAGGUUAGCUGGUCUUGGCUGUUUACAGGUUAGCUGGUCUUGGCUGUUUACAGGUUAGCUGGUCUUGGCUGUUUACAGGUUAGCUGGUCUUGGCUGUUUACAGGUUAGCUGGUCUUGGCUGUUUACAGGUUAGCUGGUCUUGGCUGUUUACAGGUUAG
Long non-coding RNA from Oncorhynchus gorbuscha (pink salmon), 677 nucleotides. RefSeq lists it as uncharacterized. The transcript is spliced from 3 exons. The record is from RefSeq and is a predicted model, not a curated record. NCBI's taxonomy places the organism in Eukaryota, Metazoa, Chordata, Actinopteri, Salmoniformes, Salmonidae.